Molecule: ribosomal RNA, 399 nt
Filed under: uncultured bacterium
Lineage: Bacteria
Description: bacterial SSU rRNA
Rfam family: Bacterial small subunit ribosomal RNA
Source: RNAcentral
CAAGGCUUGACAUGCAGGGAAAUCUCAUAGAGAUAUGAGGUCCGUAAGGGUCCUGCACAGGUGGUGCAUGGUUGUCGUCAGCUCGUGUCGUGAGAUGUUGGGUUAAGUCCCGCAACGAGCGCAACCCUCGUCCUAUGUUACCAGCGGGUAAUGCCGGGGACUCAUAGGAGACUGCCGGGGUCAACUCGGAGGAAGGUGGGGAUGACGUCAAAUCAUCAUGCCCCUUAUGUCUUGGGCUGCACACAUGCUACAAUGGCCGGUACAAAGGGCUGCGAUACCGCAAGGUGGAGCGAAUCCCAAAAAGCCGGUCUCAGUUCGGAUUGGGGUCUGCAACUCGACCCCAUGAAGUCGGAGUCGCUAGUAAUCGCAGAUCAGCAACGCUGCGGUGAAUACGUUCCC